Molecule: long non-coding RNA, 638 nt
Organism: Nicotiana attenuata
Lineage: Eukaryota; Viridiplantae; Streptophyta; Magnoliopsida; Solanales; Solanaceae
Exons: 3
Source: RefSeq, a predicted model, not a curated record
GGCUCGCUCUGCAUUUUAUGCAGCAUGAAUAAUAAGUUGUGCUGUCUUCAAAAGCAUGGUCUGCUUGAUAGUGAACUGCAGACAGCUCAUUUUAAGAGAGUAUCUGGAGCACAUGAAAAAGCAGCAUCAGACUGGAAAUAGAGUUGUCCCAUGGCUUCUAAGUACUUUAAUUUUAUAUGGAAAAUUGGUGUAAUGUUGGUAAGUGAAGUAGGGCCUGUUUUUGUUGGAGGUAGGAUUGAGUAUUCCUUCAAUAUUGAUUCUGAUCACUUAUCUAUCCCUGAAUUAGUAGAUAUUGCAAAGGAUUUUGGGGUUACUAAAUUGGGAACCACUUAUAUUGCACCUUCUAAGGGUGGCAAAUUGGUAAAACUAGAGAAAGACAAGAAUUUGUUAGACCUUGGAGUAUUGUUGAAUGAUGGGGACACAAUAGAUAUAUUUAUCUGCAAUGACUCUAAUUUUGAGGAUGUGGGGCAUGUUGGCCAACAUGUGAAUGUUGAAAAGGGAGGUGGUAGUCAAUUAACUAAUAUAAAUGGGGGCAGCAGGGAAUCUGAGCCUUUAUUUAUUCCACACCCACCAAUAAUUGCACCAGCUCCAACUAUAGAUCUAGAUCUAGAGUUUCCUUCUUCUCUAAAUACUUCUGA